Molecule: long non-coding RNA, 860 nt
Filed under: Homo sapiens (human)
Lineage: Eukaryota; Metazoa; Chordata; Mammalia; Primates; Hominidae
Description: non-protein coding lnc-ST6GAL2-7:1
Source: RNAcentral
UUCUCGUGACCGUGGAAGAGUGAGUUGAUGUGAUUGGUGUACCUUCUUGAGUAUAUGCCUGAGAUAUCCAAUGCACAAUGUCCCCUCACAAUCCCCUCACACCAGCAAACACCCUGCCGUGACAGGUGGUGGUGGUCUUCCUUUUGUCUCCACUGUGUAGACAUGUUAACCCACUAUCUUCAGGCUUUUAGUCAUGCAGAGAAGAAGCCUGGUGUCAACUUAAGGCCAUUUGCCUUGUAAGUUAUUCUCCUUAGAUCUUGGUUUUUAAAGGUUUACUUUUUUCUUCUGAGAAUUCAAUAUUUCCAAAGAAAUUCAUCCUAUCUGGCACUUGAUAGCCCUUUUCAUUAGCAGAUCCAAAUCUUUCUUUUGGUUAGAUGUUCUAGCCAGGACCUUCCUGAUCCCAAACUUCACAACUUUUUAAAUUUACAGACUUAACCACUACCAUAGAUACAUAGGUAGGUAGGUAGGUAGGUAGAUAGAUAAUAGAUACAUAGUAGUGUGGAAGCCCAGAAGCAGGUUCACCUGGCACAAAACAAGAUCUGGUAGAUGUAGGGAGGGAGAAGAUGAAUUCAACUCAGGAGAGAAUGAGUAUAAGCAUCUACACUUAAAUAUUUUGCCAGUAUUGAUAGAUAUACCAACAGCAUUUUUCACUGCCCUCUUAACAAAUAAUAUUGAAUACAUCAUGCAAUAAGAGCAGAAUAUACAUUCUUCUCAAGCUCACAUGGGACAUUUACUAAGACAGACUACAUUCUGGGCCAUAAAACACAACUUACAAAGUUAAAAGAAUAGACAUCAUGCAAAAUAUGUUUUCAGACCACAAUGAAGCUAAACUAGAAUUAACAACAGAAAGAUACCUAGAA